GGGCGAAUGGCUUAGUAGUAAAGUGCCUCGCGCCUCUUUAGCUAGUAUAGGCGAUGCGACAAUGUGGAAGAAAUUCAUCUACAGUCAUCAAUUCUUUGCUUGAAUAGAGGAGGCCCGGGGUUCGAUUCCCCGUGUUUGUCCA
This 142-nucleotide transfer RNA is filed under the name Nilaparvata lugens yeast-like symbiont. Its description in RNAcentral is "tRNA-Und (NNN) (tRNA-Und-NNN-2-1)". Lineage: Eukaryota; Fungi; Ascomycota. The record is from RNAcentral.